Molecule: long non-coding RNA, 1729 nt
Organism: Poecilia latipinna (sailfin molly)
Lineage: Eukaryota; Metazoa; Chordata; Actinopteri; Cyprinodontiformes; Poeciliidae
Exons: 3
Source: RefSeq, a predicted model, not a curated record
UCCUUUUAUGCAACUCACUGAGCUCCUUUCAUGUGUUUUCAUUUAGCUACCCCUUUUUUUUUUAGUCAUUUUUAUUUAAUUUACAAAACAAGCCUGUCCUCCCGUAACAUUUGUGUGUGUUGUGUAACAGUCUGGUCCUGGUCUCCGUAGUUGGACGUUACAGUUUUUAAAUGUCUCUAGUAACACUUACUUUACCUCUUGCUGGCCCUUUUCACCACCUGCUCCCUCUUUUUAAUUACUUGGUUUCCUUAUUCCAGAGCCAGACUCAUCCUCCUCGCUUCCUCCAAGUCAGAGCUUGGCUUUCCGUCUUGGACCCCGUCGCGAACAUAUUUCUGGACGUCCCGCCUGGCAACGCCUCCGAGACCCAGGAAAAAAAAAUAAAAUAAAAAAUUCUCCUUUACUACCGCGUGCCCUGACGACGUCCCAGUAAAAACCCAUAUACGUCUGGUUUCACGCACAGGUGAAACCAGACGUAUAUGUUUCAGUGGAAACUGACUCGCGGCCACAGUAACGGGGCCUAAUUUGUUAAGCACAAAUUAACAACGCGUUGACGCUUUGACCUCGACGCUUUGUGACGGGUUCUGGAGCUAAAACGGCGUCGCUGAGCACGCUCCGGUAACCGCGGCGAGUCCUUUUUUUUCCCCCCCUCUGCCUUUUUCACACACAUCCCGACGAAGAGAUAAAAGCCUCCUGAAAGCAGCCAAUAAUACAACUGCGAGCCAUAAAUCUCCGGCAAUCUGUGCGGCUGCUUUAACAGCUCAGCGAGUGUCGCCGGCCCCGCGAGCCACCAAAGAUGGGCUGCCCUCUCUCCGCCGUUUUCACCAGCGUGACCCUCAGACACGCAGAAAACGUUCGCUCUUCUGUGUGCUGUUCAACCUCUGCCGAACAGCAGGACGGUAAAGAGCGACCAGGUUUCCGUCUGUCACAGAGGAGUCUUUGGACGCCUGAAUGUCUGCUUUGGUUUCUUGAAAUGUAGUCAUCUCAGCGAUUCUUAAAUUAAGCAGAUUCCUGGGAGUUACUGUGAAUAUUAAAGACCUGGGAGAUGCCGACAGACCAGAUGUGUUACAUCGCUCUCAUCUGAUGGAUCUCUCAGGGAUUCAACCAGUUCUCUUCCCCCCCUUCGCUUUGCUCUCCGAGUCGCCAACCUCUGCCAAGCAGCUGUACGCCCCGAUAUUUCACCCAGGUCUGCUGCGAUAAACUGCCAGGGCUAAGAGGCAACUUCAGACUUGCAAAUUGCAUACCGAUUCCCCCGACUGGGAGGUGUAUUUACAUUGUUGUUUCCGUAUGGGGUUUUUUGUAAGCUAUGAAAAAAAAAAAAAAAUAGAGAAGAGUUUCCCGACGAGGCACGGCAUAUUUAAAGGGAAUACUGUUGAAUUUUCUUAGAGGUGUGAAUCCAUGUUUAUUUCAUAUUCCGUGGUGGAGAGGGUCUAUUAUCUUGGAGGUCUUCUUGUGGUUUAACUUUUCUAGAGGAAAAUUUAUACCUACCAAGUCAUUUUUGUUCAACUACGCCAAACUACGGGUUGCGACUCAUGAUUCUAGUGUCUUGCAUUGCAUUAAAGUGAUUUCAUGAAUUAUCUGGUGUGUGACAAACAUUAAUAGGGACAGUGAAUUAUGUAGCCACCUGCUGUUGCUAACAGCUGUGACUGUGACCUGACCCUGUGCUGCCCCCAAACACCACUGGGAGGUUCGAAUGAAAUGUUGGAAAUGAAUUAAAGAUCUCGCCAACUUG